UGGGGAAUAUUGGACAAUGGGCGAAAGCCUGAUCCAGCGACGCCGCGUGGGUGAAGAAGGCCUGCGGGUUGUAAAGCCCUUUCGGUGGGGAUGAAAUGCCUUGACCUAACACGUCAGGGUCUUGACCUAACCCAAGAAAGAAGCACCGGCUAACUCUGUGCCAGCAGCCGCGGUAAUACAGAGGGUGCGAGCGUUAAUCGGAAUUACUGGGCGUAAAGCGCGCGUAGGUGGCUUUGCAAGUCGAUUGUGAAAUCCCCGGGCUUAACCUGGGAACUGCAGUCGAGACUGCUUUGCUUGAGUAUGGGAGAGGGAGGUGGAAUUUCCGGUGUAGCGGUGAAAUGCGUAGAUAUCGGAAGGAACAUCAGUGGCGAAGGCGACCUCCUGGACCAAUACUGACACUCAAGUGCGAAAGCGUGGGGAGCAAACAGG
RNAcentral lists this ribosomal RNA (429 nucleotides) under uncultured bacterium. Its description in RNAcentral is "bacterial SSU rRNA". It matches the Rfam family "Bacterial small subunit ribosomal RNA", at positions 355 to 776 of the family's 1533-position model. The record is from RNAcentral.